UACGUAGGUCCCGAGCGUUAUCCGGAUUUAUUGGGCGUAUAGCGAGCGCAGGCGGUUUGAUAAGUCUGAAGUUAAAGGCUGUGGCUUAACCAUAGUACGCUUUGGAAACUGUUUAACUUGAGUGCAGAAGGGGAGAGUGGAAUUCCAUGUGUAGCGGUGAAAUGCGUAGAUAUAUGGAGGAACACCGGUGGCGAAAGCGGCUCUCUGGUCUGUAACUGACGCUGAGGCUCGAAAGCGUGGGGAGCAAACAGG
This 252-nucleotide ribosomal RNA is filed under the name uncultured bacterium. RNAcentral's name for it is "partial 16S ribosomal RNA". It matches the Rfam family "Bacterial small subunit ribosomal RNA", at positions 524 to 776 of the family's 1533-position model. The record is from RNAcentral.